ACGGAAGGCAGCAGUGAGGAAUAUUGGACAAUGGAUGGAAGUCUGAUCCAGCCAUGCCGCGUGAGGAUAGAUGCCCUACGGGUUUUGAACUUCUUUUGUACGGGGGCAAUAAGGGCCACGCGUGGCCCGAUGAGAGUACCGUACGAAUAAGCAUCGGCUAACUCCGUGCCAGCAGCCGCGGUAAUACGGAGGAUGCGAGCGUUAUCCGGAUUUAUUGGGUUUAAAGGGUGCGUAGGCGGCUUGCCAAGUCGGCGGUGAAAUCCGGGCGCCCAACGCCGGAACUGCCGUUGAAACUGGCGGGCUCGAAUGGUGCCGCCGCAUGCGGAAUGUGUGAAGUAGCGGUGAAAUGCAUAGAUAUCACACAGAACGCCGAUUGUGGAAACAGCAUGCGAGACACAGAUUGACGCUGAGGCACGAAAGUGUGGGGAUCAAACAGGAUUAGAUACCCUGGUA
This 453-nucleotide ribosomal RNA is filed under the name uncultured Porphyromonadaceae bacterium. RNAcentral describes it as "partial 16S ribosomal RNA". It matches the Rfam family "Bacterial small subunit ribosomal RNA", at positions 341 to 792 of the family's 1533-position model. The record is from RNAcentral. Lineage: Bacteria; Pseudomonadati; Bacteroidota; Bacteroidia; Bacteroidales; Porphyromonadaceae.